This 460-nucleotide ribosomal RNA is filed under the name uncultured bacterium. RNAcentral describes it as "partial 16S ribosomal RNA". It matches the Rfam family "Bacterial small subunit ribosomal RNA", at positions 338 to 795 of the family's 1533-position model. The record is from RNAcentral.
CCUACGGGAGGCUGCAGUGAGGAAUAUUGGUCCAUGGGCGCUAGCCUGAACCAGCCAAGUAGCGUGAAGGAUGACUGCCCUAUGGGUUGUAAACUUCUUUUAUAUGGGAAUAAAGUGCAGUAUGUAUACUGCUUUUCAUGUACCUUAUGAAUAAGGAUCGGCUAACUCCGUGCCAGCAGCCGCGGUAAUACGGAGGAUCCGAGCGUUAUCCGGAUUUAUUGGGUUUAAAGGGAGCGUAGGCGGGUUGUUAAGUCAGUUGUGAAAGUUUGCGGCUCAACCGUAAAAUUGCAGUUGAUACUGGCAUCCUUGAGUACAGUAGAGGUAGGCGGAAUUCGUGGUGUAGCGGUGAAAUGCUUAGAUAUCACGAAGAACUCCGAUUGCGAAGGCAGCUUACUAAACUGCCACUGACAUUGAUGCUCGAAAGUGUGGGUAUCAAACAGGAUUAGAUACCCUAGUAGUC